CCUACGGGUGGCUGCAGUGGGGAAUUUUGGACAAUGGGCGCAAGCCUGAUCCAGCCAUUCCGCGUGAGUGAAGAAGGCCUUCGGGUUGUAAAGCUCUUUCGCAAGGGAAGAAAACUUAUCCUCUAACAUAGGAUGAGGUUGACGGUACCUUGAUAAGAAGCACCGGCUAACUACGUGCCAGCAGCCGCGGUAAUACGUAGGGUAUGACUGUUCAUCGGGAUUACUGGGCCUAUAUUGUAAGCAGGCUGUGAAAUCCCCGAGCUCAACUUGGGAACUGCGUUUGAAACUACAAGACUAGAAUAGGUCAGAGGGGGGUAGAAUUCCACGUGUAGCAGUGAAAUGCGUAGAGAUGUGGAGGAAUAUCAAUGGCGAAGGCAGCCCCCUGGGAUCAUAUUGACGCUCAUGCACGAAAGCGUGGGGAGCAAACAGGAUUAGAUACCCUUGUAGUC
This 449-nucleotide ribosomal RNA is filed under the name uncultured bacterium. RNAcentral describes it as "partial 16S ribosomal RNA". It matches the Rfam family "Bacterial small subunit ribosomal RNA", at positions 338 to 795 of the family's 1533-position model. The record is from RNAcentral.